RNAcentral lists this long non-coding RNA (382 nucleotides) under Trifolium pratense (red clover). RNAcentral describes it as "long non-coding RNA (TPRA_LNC013822)". Lineage: Eukaryota; Viridiplantae; Streptophyta; Magnoliopsida; Fabales; Fabaceae. The record is from RNAcentral.
AUUUUUCAUAUUCACUCAUUCAAAACAUAAAAAGUUAGUUCCACUUAUUAGCGGUAUUAUUGAGUUUAAAAAAGUUGGAUGAUAAAAAAGAAAGGUAUUAUUGAAAAGGGUAAAUGAGAGGUGGGUUGAGGAGGUCCGGAUAGUCUUUACUCUCCAUUUUGACAAUGAUAUAUCCAUGCGAUAUACCCAUACAUACGGAGAUAUAAGAUGAGAGAUAUAAGAAGAAGAAGAAGAAGAGUUGGUUUUUUAGUCAUCUCACGAGAAGAGAAGAGAAGAGAAGAGAGAAGAGCUGGUUUUGUCUUAUCAAAGUCGUAAUAAAAGUAGUAAUAAUAAUAAUAAUUAAAAAAGGAAAAAGAACGGUUGGCACGUUUAAUUUCCCUCU